GUGGCGCUAUCAAACUUGAAGUCUAGAUGCAUUCUUAGGGAUUACAGGUAUUCAAGUACAAAGAAGUGAGGCGCAUAGAUUAAGCAGCUUUGUUUUCAUCAGGUGAUGGACUGAGGCCUGGAUCAAUUUAU
Molecule: long non-coding RNA, 131 nt
Organism: Papaver somniferum (opium poppy)
Lineage: Eukaryota; Viridiplantae; Streptophyta; Magnoliopsida; Ranunculales; Papaveraceae
Exons: 3
Source: RefSeq, a predicted model, not a curated record